GACGAACGCUGGCGGCGUGCUUAACACAUGCAAGUCGAACGAAGAGCGAUGGAAGCUUGCUUCUAUCAAUCUUAGUGGCGAACGGGUGAGUAACGCGUAAUCAACCUGCCCUUCAGAGGGGGACAACAGUUGGAAACGACUGCUAAUACCGCAUACGAUCUGACCUCGGCAUCGAGGAUAGAUGAAAGGUGGCCUCUACAUGUAAGCUAUCACUGAAGGAGGGGAUUGCGUCUGAUUAGCUAGUUGGAGGGGUAACGGCCCACCAAGGCGAUGAUCAGUAGCCGGUCUGAGAGGAUGAACGGCCACAUUGGGACUGAGACACGGCCCAGACUCCUACGGGAGGCAGCAGUGGGGAAUCUUCCGCAAUGGACGAAAGUCUGACGGAACAACGCCGCGUGAGUGAUGACGGCCUUCGGGUUGUAAAGCUCUGUUAAUCGGGACGAAAGGCCUUUUUGCGAAUAGUGAGAAGGAUUGACGGUACCGGAAUAGAAAGCCACGGCUAACUACGUG
This 510-nucleotide ribosomal RNA is filed under the name uncultured bacterium. RNAcentral's name for it is "partial 16S ribosomal RNA". It matches the Rfam family "Bacterial small subunit ribosomal RNA", at positions 28 to 507 of the family's 1533-position model. The record is from RNAcentral.